RNAcentral lists this ribosomal RNA (460 nucleotides) under uncultured bacterium. RNAcentral's name for it is "partial 16S ribosomal RNA". It matches the Rfam family "Bacterial small subunit ribosomal RNA", at positions 338 to 795 of the family's 1533-position model. The record is from RNAcentral.
CCUACGGGUGGCAGCAGUGAGGAAUAUUGGUCAAUGGACGAGAGUCUGAACCAGCCAAGUAGCGUGAAGGAUGACUGCCCUAUGGGUUGUAAACUUCUUUUAUAAAGGAAUAAAACGAGGCACGUGUGCCUUUUUGCAUUUACUUUAUGAAUAAGGAUCGGCUAACUCCGUGCCAGCAGCCGCGGUAAUACGGAGGAUCCGAGUGUUAUCCGGAUUUAUUUGGUUUAAAGGGAGCGUAGAUGGGUUGUUAAGUAAGUUGUGAAAGUUUGCGGCUCAACCGUAAAAUUGCAAUUGAUCCUGGCAGUCUUGAGUACAGUUGAGGUAGGCGGAAUUCGUGGUGUAGCGGUGAAAUGCUUAGAGAUCACGAAGAACCCCGAUUGCGAAGGCAGCUUACUAAACUGUGACUGACAUUGAUGCUCGAAAGUGUGGGUAUCAAACAGGAUUAGAUACCCCAGUAGUC